RNAcentral lists this ribosomal RNA (301 nucleotides) under uncultured bacterium. Its description in RNAcentral is "partial 16S ribosomal RNA". It matches the Rfam family "Bacterial small subunit ribosomal RNA", at positions 509 to 807 of the family's 1533-position model. The record is from RNAcentral.
CAGUCGCCGCGGUAAAACGAAGGGUGCAAGCGUUAAUCGGAAUUACUGGGCGUAAAGCGUGCGUAGGCGGUUUGUUAAGUCUGUUGUGAAAUCCCCGGGCUCAACCUGGGAAUGGCAAUGGAUACUGGCAAGCUAGAGUGUGUCAGAGGAUGGUGGAAUUCCCGGUGUAGCGGUGAAAUGCGUAGAGAUCGGGAGGAACAUCAGUGGCGAAGGCGGCCAUCUGGGACAACACUGACGCUGAGGCACGAAAGCGUGGGGAGCAAACAGGAUUGGAUACCCCUGUAGUCCCUGUCUCUUAUAC